This 1082-nucleotide long non-coding RNA is filed under the name Olea europaea subsp. europaea. The record is from RNAcentral. Lineage: Eukaryota; Viridiplantae; Streptophyta; Magnoliopsida; Lamiales; Oleaceae.
CGCGCAAGUGCGUACCACAAAAACAUCAAAGAGUGGGUAAGUAUACAUUAUAUGAUUAGAACUUCGUUAAUAGAGAAUGGAACGUGUGGAGGAAGAAAGCGGCGUUUAGGCACCUUUAAAUGCUUGAGAGAGACUCUUCUUUAAUUAUUGAUGGAGCCUUAACCAUUUUAAACCACAGAGCAUUCCAACCAACUCUUGAUCAUAGGUCUACAUGGGACUAGCUGUACAACGUGGAAAAGUCAUAGUUCCUCAAAAAACACGAAGUUCUUUUUAAAUUUUCAAGUUGCAAUGAUUAUUUACUACGAUUCAAGAACAGUUCUAUCGUGAUUGUAAAUGGCAAAACAUAAAAAUUAUUGAUAGCUAUGGGGAAAUAAUUACUUACUAUUAUUUGUGGUAUGAAUAGUAAUAGUAAUAAGUUUAUGCAUGCUAGCUAGGAUUGUGAAGAAGAGUUGUAUGAGCUAUGUAGAACUUUAUCUUUAACAUGCCUCACAAGAUAGGGGCCCUAUUGAUAAUUCUUACCUUGGACCGUAAUAACAUGCCGCCCCAAAAUUGCUUACACUCAUAGCUUGUUGCCCUACUAACAUACUUGGAUCUUAUACUAAAAUAGAUUUAGUUACUGGAGAAGGAGAAUAACAACAAUGAAGAAUCAACGAGAAAAGAGAGGAGAGUAGUGGUUGGGGUGGGAAAUAGUUUUUGUGUUAAAAAACGAAGUAUCUAUAAGGAAAGAAAAUUCUAGUAUCUUUUUCGAAUACUUCAGGAAAUUAUUAGCUAUACCCUAUAGGGAAUUAGAUAGAAAAAUUAAAACAAUUAAGUUGAAAUCGGCAACAGUUUGAACUAAGAAUUGUGAGCUUAUUUGAUCAUUCAACAAAUUCCUAAAAUUGAAGGUUGAGCUUUCAUCAGACGUUUUGAAAAUCAAAACUAAAAGAAAAUUGACGGAGAUAUGCUUCUCCUAUGAAGGAAUCAUUUUUAGAGAGAAAGGGUUAGGAAUGAGUCUACCGGGGCAAAAAUAUUAAUAAAAGGAUAAAAAAUAUAUUUUAAGAAGAAAUAUAUCCCAACUUUCAGCUGAAAACAAAAGUCAUCCA